Molecule: ribosomal RNA, 551 nt
Filed under: Diversispora aurantia
Lineage: Eukaryota; Fungi; Glomeromycota; Glomeromycetes; Diversisporales; Diversisporaceae
Description: SSU rRNA
Rfam family: Eukaryotic small subunit ribosomal RNA
Source: RNAcentral
UUGGAGGGCAAGUCUGGUGCCAGCAGCCGCGGUGAUUCCAGCUCCAAUAGCGUAUACUAAAGUUGUUGCAGUUAAAAAGCUCGUAGUUGAACUUCGGGGUUCACCCAUUGGUCAGGCUUAAUUGUCUGCACUGGUGAGAUGAAUCUCUACCUUCUGAGGAACUUUCAUGCCAUUUAUUUGGUGUGAUGGGAAAUCAGGACUGUUACUUUGAAAAAAUUAGAGUGUUUAAAGCAGGCUAACGUCUGAAUACAUUAGCAUGGAAUAAUGAAAUAGGACGGACUGAUUCUAUUUCGUUGGUUUCUAGGAUCACCGUAAUGAUUAAUAGGGAUAGUUGGGGGCAUUAGUAUUCAAUUGUCAGAGGUGAAAUUCUUGGAUUUAUUGAAGACUAACUACUGCGAAAGCAUUUGCCAAGGAUGUUUUCAUUAAUCAAGAACGAAAGUUAGGGGAUCGAAGACGAUCAGAUACCGUCGUAGUCUUAACCAUAAACUAUGCCGACUAGGGAUCGGACGAAGUUAAUUUUAUAAUGACGCGUUCGGCGCCUUACGGGAAAC